AUGUGUGCAGGCAAGCGAGAUGGUGGCAUGGGGUUUCGUGACCCUGAGGCCUUCAACCAAGCUUUGCUGGCUAAACAAGUGUGGAGAAUUCGACAGGUGCCAACAUCUCUUUGCGCAAGGGUGCUUAAAGCUCGUUAUUUUGAGGACGGUUCGAUCUUAUCUACAACAGCACCCCCCUCCGCGUCGUUCACCUUUAAAAGCAUUCUCCAUGGG
This 213-nucleotide ribosomal RNA is filed under the name Triticum aestivum (bread wheat). Its description in RNAcentral is "partial small subunit ribosomal RNA". The record is from RNAcentral. Lineage: Eukaryota; Viridiplantae; Streptophyta; Magnoliopsida; Poales; Poaceae.